This 1078-nucleotide long non-coding RNA is filed under the name Homo sapiens (human). RNAcentral's name for it is "non-protein coding lnc-INO80C-1:8". Lineage: Eukaryota; Metazoa; Chordata; Mammalia; Primates; Hominidae. The record is from RNAcentral.
CUUUUCCAUGAAGGUCCCCAAUUGGGCAGUGCCCUGAAAUCACUUCUAAUGCUGAUGCUAGGCAACACCUCAGACCUACUGCUCAGACCCUCCAGGGGCAGGGCCCAGGAUUGAAGAGGGAAGCCCUGCUCCACACGUGUUCAUCAGGAAGGACCCACAGACUGCUGCUCCUGGAGGCCUCUCGGUUUAUGGAUGUGUGUUUGUUCCAUAAACCCUCAGAGGGUCACCUGGAGACCCGCUAAAAUGCAGGUUCUUGGGCCACAUCCUAGACCUUCUGACCGACCCAGGGAGUGGGGCCCAGGAAGCUGCAUUUGACAGAUAUCCCCGUGUGAUCAUCAUGCACACAGGAGUGAGAGAACCAGUGUUCUCCCCGGGCAGAAGGGAAGCUCGUGUGCAGGACACCUCACACCUCCUUUCCCAUUCCCCUGCCAGGCUCUCCCUGCUGACAUUGUUUUUGCGGGAGAGCUGUGAAUUCUGAAGAUUAGGUUGCUUCUCACCCCAAGCUCCAGAAGUCCAGGCUGAGCCAAACCAAGCUUCAAGUUGUGCCUGGACUUGGAGAACCAGGAGGUGAGGGGACUGACUACUUGAAGAUCACAUGGAGGAGGAGUCUGAUCCAGGCCCAGGAUCCUGGAUGUCUCAGUCUCCCCAGGUGAUCAUGUGGCCUCAGAAGCCAGAGCUAGAUGUGCUCCUGAUCUUGUAGCCCCUCGUCCUAUGCCUCAUCAAAACCAGGGGUCAUUGGAAUGGACUGAAGAAGGAGAAAACUAGAAAGGAUCUGAGGGAAGUGGUCUGGCUGAAAGCUUGACGUGGACAGAGUCCUGGCUCUCAGGCAGACACUUAAAUUCUCCUGGUGCUGCAGACAUCACAGCUGAAUCCAUUUAAAAGAGGAUGGCAAAUAUAUAAAUCAUGACCUCAAAAUUCCUUCAAUCUCUCACAGGACACCAGGGAAAUAUUUUAUUAUCCCUCAAUAACAACCAGGGUCAGGAAUAAAUUUGGAAUUCUUUAAUUUAGGCUCCAGUUCAUUUGCUAAAUUAAAUGCUUGAAAUAAUUUCCUGCUAUGAAAAUAUGAGACUCUUACUAU